RNAcentral lists this ribosomal RNA (2005 nucleotides) under microbial mat metagenome. Its description in RNAcentral is "bacterial LSU rRNA". It matches the Rfam family "Bacterial large subunit ribosomal RNA", at positions 1 to 1992 of the family's 2925-position model. The record is from RNAcentral.
UUAAGAUGUUAAGGGCAUACGGUGGAUGCCUUGGCGUCAGGAGGCGAAGAAGGACGUGGAAGGCUGCGAUAAGCCUCGGGGAGCCGUCAAGCAGGCUUUGAUCCGGGGAUUUCCGAAUGGGGCAACCCGGCUAGAGUAAUGUCUAGUCAUCCUUUGACUGAAUACAUAGGUCAUAGGAAGCGAACUCGGGGAAGUGAAACAUCUCAGUACCCGAAGGAAGAGAAAUCAAGAGAGAUUCCGAUAGUAGCGGCGAGCGAACUCGGAAAAGCCUAAACCGUGUGGCUUCGGCCAUGCGGGGUUGUAGGGCCCUAAUAAUCGAUCCAUAAGUAGAUAGCAGAACGUACUGGAAAGUGCGGCCAUAGCGAGUGAGAGCCUCGUAUGCGAAAUCGAAAGUGGCGAGUAGGGUACCUGAGUAGGGCGGGACACGAGAAAUCCCGUUUGAAUCUGGGAGGACCAUCUUCCAAGGCUAAAUACUCCCUGACGACCGAUAGUGUACCAGUACCGUGAGGGAAAGGUGAAAAGAACCCCUGUUAGGGGAGUGCAAUAGAACCUGAAACCGUAUGCCUACAAGCAGUGGGAGCACCUUCGUGGUGUGACCGCGUGCCUUUUGCAUAAUGGGCCAGCGAGUUAAUCUGUAGUGCGAGGUUAAGCCGAUGAGGUGUAGCCGUAGCGAAAGCGAGUCUUAAAUGGGCGACUAGUACUGCGGAUUAGACCCGAAGCCGGGUGAUCUAUCCAUGAGCAGGUUGAAGCUUGGGUAAAGCCAAGUGGAGGACCGAACCGUUGUAAGUUGAAAAUUACUCGGAUGACUUGUGGAUAGGGGUGAAAGGCCAAUCAAACUCGGUGAUAGCUGGUUCUCUCCGAAAUAUAUUGAGGUAUAGCCUCAGGAGUUUACUUGCGGAGGUAGAGCACUGACAGGGCUAGGGGGCUUACCCGCUUACCAAACCCUUUCAAACUCCGAAUGCCGUAAGUUAAGAUCCUGGGAGUCAGACCGCGGGUGAUAAGGUUCGUGGUCGAGAGGGAAAGAGCCCAGACCGACAGCUAAGGCCCCCAAAUCCAUACUAAGUGGGAAAGGAGGUGAAGUCGCAUAGACAGCCAGGAGGUUGGCUUAGAAGCAGCCAUCCUUAAAAGAAAGCGUAAUAGCUCACUGGUCUAGCGACUUUGCGCCGAAAAUGUAACGGGGCUAAGUAUGGUGCCGAAGCUUCGGAAUCAGGUUUACCUGGUUGGUAGGAGAGCGUUCCCAUCUGGGAUGAAGGUAGAUUGGAAAGUCUGCUGGACUGAUGGGAAGUGAAUAUGCUGGCAUGAGUAACGAAAAAACAGGUGAAAAACCUGUUCGCCGUAAACCCAAGGUUUCCUGGGUAAAGUUAAUCUUCCCAGGGUUAGUCGGCCCCUAAGGCGAGGCUGAAAAGCGUAGUUGAUGGGAAACGGGUUAAUAUUCCCGUACCUGCAUAUGUUCGUUUGAACGAUGGGGGGACGCAGGAAGGUAGGUCAUCCGGGUGUUGGAUAUCCCGGUGCAAGCUGGUAGGGAUGAGACGUAGGCAAAUCCGCGUCUCUUUAUCCCGAGAAGUGAUGCCGUGUCGUAAGACUGAAGUGAUUGAGCCUCUACUGCCGAGAAAAGCCUCUAAGUGAGAAGAUAUGCAGACCGUACUGUAAACCGACACAGGUGGGUGGGGUGAGUAACCCAAGGCGUUUGAGAGAACUCUGGUUAAGGAACUCGGCAAAAUUACCCCGUAACUUCGGGAGAAGGGGUGCCAUUUGGGGUGAGCGUAUUUACUUCGCAAGCUUCGAGUGGUCGCAGAGAAAUGGCGGUGGCGACUGUUUACUAAAAACAUAGGACUCUGCUAAGUCGUAAGACGACGUAUAGGGUCUGACGCCUGCCCGGUGCUGGAAGGUUAAGAGGAGAUGUCAGCGCAAGCAAAGCAUUGAAUUGAAGCCCCAGUAAACGGCGGCCGUAACUAUAACGGUCCUAAGGUAGCGAAAUUCCUUGUCGGGUAAGUUCCGACCUGCA